Molecule: long non-coding RNA, 213 nt
Filed under: Daphnia pulex (common water flea)
Lineage: Eukaryota; Metazoa; Arthropoda; Branchiopoda; Diplostraca; Daphniidae
Description: uncharacterized LOC124188850
Source: RNAcentral
CAACCACACCACGUCAAAUGCCUUACUAAAUUCAGCACCAUUCACCCAUAUGAUAAAGCAUCAGGAAGUUUACCUCAACCUAAGGAGUAAGGCUGUUGGUUGCUGUGAUUUCCAUUUUUGAGGUUUUUUAUCAUGAAAAUCUUCAGUGUGCUUGUUAGUAUAGAGCACGUAAUAGAUCCUUAAGCCAAUGCUGACCUUUGUCCAUGAAGGAAG